RNAcentral lists this ribosomal RNA (441 nucleotides) under Stichopus monotuberculatus. Its description in RNAcentral is "partial 16S ribosomal RNA". It matches the Rfam family "Bacterial large subunit ribosomal RNA", at positions 1928 to 2565 of the family's 2925-position model. Lineage: Eukaryota; Metazoa; Echinodermata; Holothuroidea; Aspidochirotida; Stichopodidae. The record is from RNAcentral.
CGGCCGCGGUAUCUUGACCGUGCCAAGGUAGCAUAAUCACUUGUCUCUUAAAUGGGGACCCGUAUGAAUGGCUCUUCAUCCUUUAACUGUCUCCCUUUUUUUCCACACAAACUUCUAUUUACGUGAAGAAGCGUACUUCAGAGAGAAAGACGAGAAGACCCUGUCGAGCUUUAGCCUACCCUACUCACUUACACUCAUCCUUCCCCAGGAAAAAACCUCUGUAGGCCAGGCUUUGGUUGGGGCAACCAUGGAGAAAAAACAUCCUCCAGUUUUCUAGGAAGAGAAUCAACUCUCCUUCCCCAUUUUUGAGAACCAACACUUUUGGAAAACGGAAAAAGUUACCGCAGGGAUAACAGCGUUAUCUUUUCUAAGAGCCCUUAUUGACGAAAAGGAUUGCGACCUCGAUGUUGGAUUGGGGUAACCAAAGGGUGCAGCAGCUCU